GUCGUAGGAGAAAAUUCGUGGUUGUGCCAUCUCUCUGGGUUUUCGUUUACCGUUGUGAAGGUAGCAGACAUAAGAAUUCACCAUGAGAAUCUCCAAAAAGGCAUUAUCCUGUGUCGCACCGAUAAAAGAGGCAGCAUCUGGCAACCCCUCUCAGUGUCCUGCAACCCCCUAGAGGGUCCAGACCCCAACUUUGGGAACCACUGCCCUCGUGCAGUGUCCACCACCACGCCUGACUCUAUGCUUCCUGAUUGGUGAGAAACAUGCAGGAAACAGGGAUGCACGACAUCACUGGCAAAUCAACAUGGGACGGAAAAUGCAGAGAAUAAUGAUAACUCUGAAGUGUGUAUUUGUCAUCUUAAAACAUACAGCUGAAGAUUUUACAGUACUGCUUCCAAUUAAUUUUCAAAUAAAAUAAAGGCCCUUUUACGAAGUUCAGUAGCAGCACUAUGGUAAACUUAAA
Molecule: long non-coding RNA, 460 nt
Organism: Cheilinus undulatus (humphead wrasse)
Lineage: Eukaryota; Metazoa; Chordata; Actinopteri; Labriformes; Labridae
Exons: 3
Source: RefSeq, a predicted model, not a curated record